GACGAACGCUGGCGGCGUGCUUAACACAUGCAAGUCGAACGGAAAGGCCCUGCUUUUUUGGUGUGCUCGAGUGGCGAACGGGUGAGUAACACGUGAGUAACCUGCCCUUCACUUUGGUAUAACUUCAGGAAACUGGGGCUAAUACCGUAUCGGAUCUCCUGCUGCAUGGUGGGGGUUGGAAAGUUUCGGCGGUUGGGGAUGGACUCGCGGGUUAUCAGCUUGUUGGUGGGGUAGUGGCUUACCAAGGCUUUGACGGGUAGCCGGCCUGAGAGGGUGACCGGCGACAUUGGGACUGAGAGACGGAGCAGACUCCUACGGGAGGCAGCAGGGGGGAAUAUGGCACAAUGAGCGGGAGCGUGAUGCAGAAACGUCGCGUGCGGGAUGACGGUCUUUGGGGUGUAAAACGCUUUCGCCUGUGACGAAGCGGGAGUGACGGUAAUGGGUAAAGAAGCACCGGCUAACUACGUG
Molecule: ribosomal RNA, 468 nt
Filed under: uncultured bacterium
Lineage: Bacteria
Description: partial 16S ribosomal RNA
Rfam family: Bacterial small subunit ribosomal RNA
Source: RNAcentral